This 73-nucleotide transfer RNA is filed under the name Pythium insidiosum. Its description in RNAcentral is "tRNA-Thr". It matches the Rfam family "tRNA". Rfam says of the family: Transfer RNA (tRNA) molecules are approximately 80 nucleotides in length. Their secondary structure includes four short double-helical elements and three loops (D, anti-codon, and T loops). Further hydrogen bonds mediate the characteristic L-shaped molecular structure. tRNAs have two regions of fundamental functional importance: the anti-codon, which is responsible for specific mRNA codon recognition, and the 3' end, to which the tRNAs corresponding amino acid is attached (by aminoacyl-tRNA synthetases). tRNAs cope with the degeneracy of the genetic code in two manners: having more than one tRNA (with a specific anti-codon) for a particular amino acid; and 'wobble' base-pairing, i.e. permitting non-standard base-pairing at the 3rd anti-codon position. The record is from RNAcentral. Lineage: Eukaryota; Oomycota; Peronosporomycetes; Pythiales; Pythiaceae.
GCCCCUAUAGCUCAGUGGUUAGAGGCACCGCUUAGUAAGCGGAAGGUCGGUAGUUCGAUCCUGCCUGGGGGCA